Long non-coding RNA from Cygnus atratus (black swan), 675 nucleotides. RefSeq lists it as uncharacterized. NCBI's taxonomy places the organism in Eukaryota, Metazoa, Chordata, Aves, Anseriformes, Anatidae. The record is from RefSeq and is a predicted model, not a curated record. The transcript has 3 exons.
CAGGCCCCCGUCCUUCUCAAGUUUCGAGUUUUUGCCGCAAUUUAACAUCCCACGCCACAGAACGCGACAGGUGGCAAAUAACCAAGGCAGUACGGCGCGGGAGGUCAUGGCCAUCGUGCAAUGAUGAGUAAUGGCACAAUUGUUCGGGUUGAGGCAACUGAGGGAGCUGGAAUCAAGCUGAGGCGGAUAUGCAAGAAAGCCUGCGUCAGGAUGGGAGUCCAGCUGAGUGUCUGCGGGGGAACCUAGUACUUCCAGAGGCUGAAAUGUCCUCCAUCCAUUAAGAAGCUAUGGUGGAACUACUUCACCUACAGACGAGUCAGCUGAAACUUUUUGUGCCUACUGGGUACAACAGCCUGUGGAACAGAUCUGCUGCUUCUGGUCUUUAAUUUCUUCUUCACUGCACCUGCUCCAUUCAGUGUCACCUCAGGUAAAGUAUGUCACAGCUGAUCUAUCUGUACUGACACCCAGGCAUUCUCUGCAGUGACCCAAGUGGGAUGUGAUCUGCCCCGUAGAAACCAUCUGACAUCACAUCAGUGGUGUUUUCAUCAUUAAAUCAAUACACAAAAAAAGUACUCAAGUUCUCAAAAUGAUUGUGAUUUUACCAGAGUAGUCGCAUGAGAAAUUUCAGUUUGUUUCUACUUACUGGAUCAAUAUAACCUACAUUAACAACAAAAA